AGAACUACAAUGGUUCUGAUGGAUAGCCUGUGAGAGGCCCAGGCUGCCUGUUUGUAUAUAAGAGCAGUCAUUUGUCUUUCCUGUAGCCCAGCCGCUCUCUCCGACUAGUACAUGUCCCUGGGCCUGGAAAUAAUUGAUUUCCCCCUCCAGGAUGGAGAAGCUGUCUUCAUUAUAGUAUGGGGAUUCUAGUGGAGGGAUAUAGGUAGGAUGGAGAAGCUGUCUUCAUUAUAGUAUGGGGAUUCUAGUGGAGGGAUAUAGGUAGGAUGGAGAAGCUGUCUUCAUUAUAGUAUGGGGAUUCUAGUGGGGGGAUAUAGGUAGGAUGGAGAAGCUGUCUUCAUUAUAGUAUGGGGAUUCUAGUGGAGGGAUAUAGGUAGCAC
This 377-nucleotide long non-coding RNA is filed under the name Salmo salar (Atlantic salmon). RNAcentral's name for it is "lncRNA (ENSSSAG00000121320.1)". Lineage: Eukaryota; Metazoa; Chordata; Actinopteri; Salmoniformes; Salmonidae. The record is from RNAcentral.